This 396-nucleotide ribosomal RNA is filed under the name uncultured bacterium. RNAcentral's name for it is "partial 16S ribosomal RNA". It matches the Rfam family "Bacterial small subunit ribosomal RNA", at positions 523 to 918 of the family's 1533-position model. The record is from RNAcentral.
AUACGUAGGGGACAAGCGUUAUCCGGAUUUACUGGGUGUAAAGGGAGCGUAGGCGGCCAGCCAAGUCAGAAGUGAAAUCCCACGGCUCAACUGUGGGCGUGCUUUUGAAACUGGAGGGCUUGAGUACUGGAGGGGCAAGCGGAAUUCCUGGUGUAGCGGUGAAAUGCAUAGAUAUCAGGAAGAACACCGGAGGCGAAGGCGGCUUGCUGGACAGAGACUGACGCUGAGGCUCGAAGGCGUGGGGAGCAAACAGGAUUAGAUACCCUGGUAGUCCACGCGGUAAACGAUGAAUGCUAGGUAUUGGGCUCCAUAGGGGUUCGGUGCCGCAGUUAACGCAAUAAGCAUUCCACCUGGGGAGUACGUUCGCAAGAAUGAAACUCAAAGGAAUUGACGGGG